RNAcentral lists this long non-coding RNA (863 nucleotides) under Gossypium barbadense (sea-island cotton). RNAcentral describes it as "long non-coding RNA (GBAR_LNC008565)". Lineage: Eukaryota; Viridiplantae; Streptophyta; Magnoliopsida; Malvales; Malvaceae. The record is from RNAcentral.
AAAAAAAUCCUCUCCCUUCUCCUUUUGUUCCUUUAAACGUAGUCCAGGGUCCGGCCAUAGGGUCGUCAGGAGCCCGCCGAGACCACCGGUCAUUAGCGACGGCGACUGUAGUCUCUGGUGGCAAAAUUAUGAAAACGAGCCUUUUCAGCUCCUCUUCGGCCCAAAUAUGAAGACAAAGCCUUCUGUUCGAAAAAAAAAACUUUCGUCCUCUCUACCUAGCCGACGCACGCCUUUCACACCUUAUUCCAUCGAAGCCCAGGCCAAACCUUAAAGGGUUCUGGGGUUUUCGAUGUCGGGGAAUACCUACAACAAUAGAGGGAGGUGAAAAGACUCAGGUAAAAAAUGAUUUUUAUCUUAUUAUGUUUUCGAAAAAAAACAAACAAAAAAAAGAAUCACCUUCGUAUUUUCUAUUUUCUUUUUGAAUCUUACAAAAGUUUGGUUAUAGCCUUUCAAUUACAAUAUUUCUCUCUUUUUUUCCUUUUUGUCUCUUCUCUAUUAUUCUGCUUCUGUGCUUUUUUCUCCUUUGCAGGAACCCAUGGUCAACGGCGAUGACGGGAGUCGUGCCUUGGCUAUUUUGGUGCAACGGUGGCAGAGAAGGCGUCAGGCCUCGGGGCGCGAGUAUGCUAACGUGGUGGGGAGCAACGCCAAAGGGGUUCGGGUUUUUUUUUUUUUUUGCUUUUUGAGAAUAGUUUAAGUUAUGGGCUAUUAGGCUUCGUGUUAUUGGGUAUUAGGUUUAGCAGAUGGGUUAGGUUAUUGGACUCUUUUUUGUUUGGGCUAAUCUAUUUUGUAAAUGGACUUUUAUUUAUUUGGCCGGAUAAAAUUGGCCUGUUACGCUAAUAAAAGCAAUGUAUUAAUUAUACCAG